GUGCUCACUUCAGCAGCACAUUUGCAAAAACUGGAAUGAUACAGAAAAGAUUGGCAUAUCCUACUCAGAGAUGGCAUGCAAAUUUGUGACUUAUUCCAUAUUAAA
Molecule: small nuclear RNA, 105 nt
Organism: Nycticebus coucang (slow loris)
Lineage: Eukaryota; Metazoa; Chordata; Mammalia; Primates; Lorisidae
Source: RefSeq, a predicted model, not a curated record